Molecule: long non-coding RNA, 2494 nt
Organism: Phacochoerus africanus (Common warthog)
Lineage: Eukaryota; Metazoa; Chordata; Mammalia; Artiodactyla; Suidae
Exons: 3
Source: RefSeq, a predicted model, not a curated record
AGAUUCCACAUACAAGUGAUAUCAUGAUAUUUGUCUUUAUUUGGCUGACUUCACUUAGUAUGAGAAUCUCGGGACAAUCCGUGUUGCUGCAAACAGCACCCUUUCAUUCUGCUUAUGGCUAACACGCCAUUGUGGUACUACUGCCUUAGAAAAUCACUCUUUUACAACCAUCAAGUAAUGAACAGAUUCAGCAGCAGCCCACAUGGCCCACAAAGCCGACGGUAUUUCUGUGAGUCGCUGACCCACUAUAGAAAAAGUCUGCACAGCUCUGCUUCAAGCCUCAAGUGCUCUGCACUGCUACGUGCAAACCCAACACACGACUUGCACAGGACUUUUCAGAGCCUUUCAGGCCAAACCAAACCGCCUCCCAAAAAGGUGAGGGUGAAAUGCCACCAACUGACUCCCCGAGUCACAGGACCCUAGGCGUCUGGAGAAGCUGCCAGUCCGGAGAGGAACCCAUUCCGGGGGAAGGAGACACCAAUUCAACUCGGAUAAAAUGAACUUGCUGAGACCAUGAGGUCACCGACACUCUCAGCAGAUAAGCCGAAGACCCCCUGUUCCCCAUAAGAGCGCCUUGCUAAACGUAAGAAAUGAUAUGACUAAGGAAAGACAAUAUCUGAAUGCAUGUUCCCAGCACCCUCGUAGUCAAGGGGGAUUUGGCAAUACCCUAAACCAAGUCCCAAGAACCUGAUAUUUUAGGUGGGGGCUGGCAGCAGGGGGUAGGGUGGAAAACGAAUACCUAGGACACGGCAGAUGACGAGUGGGGUGACGGCAGAAAAGUGACGGGGACAAUCCCUUCCCUCCUAGUCUUGGGGGCAAUCCUGUAACGGGAUAUCAUGCAGCUGUUGGAAAGAACGCAGCACAUCUGUACGCACUUGAUAUGAAAAGAGGACCAGGGAAGAAAGCACAGCACUGAACAAGGUACAGAAUGGACAUUUUGUGUACGGAAAGGGGGGAGUGAGCCUGUCUAAGGGGACUUGCUGACGGGGCAGAGAGAAACACUGCAAGCGCUGCUGGGGGAACAGGAUGGGCGGCACGGAGCUACAUAGAGAAUGUGCACCAGUUACACAAAAUUCCAUUUAUAAGCCCCACAGCCACACGCGCAACAAAGGGGUCUGUCAGGGUAAACACCAAACCAUUACUCCCCCGAGAAGAUGUUUACUCUAACCUUACCUACUUCUCUGUAGUUGGCUCCAUCACUUCCGUAAUUAAAAACACAACAAAGCCCAAACAGCUUGCAACCAGUCCUAGAGAGGUCGGUAUUACCUCUAUUACAGCUAAGGAAAUAAGCUCCAGCAGGAGGUGUGGCCCCAGCCCGAGGUCAGAUGGCAGCGCCCUUUCCUCCUCACCUCCCAGUGCCAAGGUGGUGGCGGGGGUUGGGGGCGGCUCUGGGCCAGGCCAUCCGGGCAGCCGUCCUGUCCAGCAGAGGCCUCAGCAAUCAAAGGCUCUACAAGUGGGGGCGUGGCAAGAACUCUCUCGCCUUCUAGGGUGCUGAGGUCUUAGGGUAAACACUGCCCUCUUUCUGCGCGAGCUCAAGGACUGGGAGCCCUGCUCAGUUACUGCAAAACCCCCAUGUUUAUGCAUUAGUUACUGCCUCCCUGGUCUGGAGGCUGAAUGGCAGAGCCUCGGGCUCCACGCCACCCCUCCCGCGGAGGAGGCCGGUAACAAUCGGAGGUCUGUCUGGGUGGCCAGGCUGGAUACAGCCUCUCUGAGCCCAGGAGUCCAACCUGGAGCCUCCCCAGCCCCUGCCAUCUGGGGGGACGCAGGUGAACAACCGCUUCGUCACCUCUCUGCCCAGGAGUGAGGUGGUAGGGGGGAGGUUGCCAGUCUCAGGCCAAGGCAGCACACUUCUCCUUUGUCCCAGGCCUCCCCAGUUCUGCCAGCUGGGGUGGGAGGUGGAGGGAGCUGGAGGCCUGUACCCUUGGAGCUGGAGCAGAGCUCUGGGGCCCGGCACCCUGUGACCAGGAGGCGCUGGGCAAAGCCGAGCUCCUUGAAGUCACAAGCGGAUUACGGGGGAUUUGGGGUUGACCCAGCUCCAGGCCGAGUCGGCUUGGUCUCGAAUGGCUCCGCAUGGGCCAGCGUCACCACGGAGAUGUUGACGAUAGCGUCUAGACACCCAAACUGGCAGCGCCAAGGGUCUUUCCAUCGAAAUAGCCACCACCCUGGUUUAGGGCACUGGGCCGAGUCCAACCACAACCACCACAGGGAAUGAACCUCCCAUUUUCACCGGGAAGAGAACCAAGGCUCCGAGGGAGUCCACUUCCCCAAGGUCAUAUAGUGUUGUGAGGACGUGUUUUUUUGUUUCCACUCACAGAAGGCUUUCAGCUGUCAAAUUAUAUCUAAUCCAACUUUUCAACUGUACCCACAAAGAGCCUAGAAAGACCUGGAGUCUGAGGAUUCCUGCUCAUUCGGGGGCACAGAGGGUGGCGCAGGGGACGGGAGCAUGGAGAAAAAAGCUUGUUUUAAAAAAAAAAAAUACUGAAGAGCAUUUCAA